AUGAAGAACGUAGCGAAAUGCGAUAAGUAAUGCGAAUUGCAGAAUUCAGUGAGUCAUCGAAUCUUUGAACGCACAUUGCGCCCUGUGGUAUUCCGCAGGGCAUGCCUGUUCGAGCGUCAUUUCAACCCUCAAGCUCUGCUUGGUGUUGGGCCCUGCCCGCUGCGGCCGGCCCUAAAGACAGUGGCGGUGCCGCCUGGCCCUGAGCGUAGUACAUCUCUCGCUCCAGUGCCCGGUGGUAGCCUGCCAGAACCCCAACUCUCGUGGUUGACCUCGGAUCAGGUAGGGAUACCCGCUGAACUUAAGCAUAUCAAUAAGCGGAGGA
This 322-nucleotide unclassified non-coding RNA is filed under the name soil metagenome. RNAcentral's name for it is "partial contains 5.8S ribosomal RNA, internal transcribed spacer 2, and large subunit ribosomal RNA". The stretch from base 1 to 119 matches the Rfam family "5.8S ribosomal RNA", at positions 36 to 154 of the family's 154-position model. The record is from RNAcentral.